CUGCUUCUACUUUCUGUAUGGAGCUGGGAGCGUCUGCCUGUUGGACGCCCGAAGAGCGUCAGGUUUGAUCCUUGGUAUGCAGAUGAACAUGACGAAUUACGGCGCCCCACGUGGGCUUACAAGUGGGAUAUCGUUUCUGAGAUGACGAACGAUGUCAAUCUCAUGUACCAAAAGUACAUUGCCGAGUUGGACACGAUUACGCCUGAGCAGGUAAGGAGGUCAUUACUUUAG
Molecule: ribosomal RNA, 231 nt
Filed under: Triticum aestivum (bread wheat)
Lineage: Eukaryota; Viridiplantae; Streptophyta; Magnoliopsida; Poales; Poaceae
Description: partial small subunit ribosomal RNA
Source: RNAcentral